GACGAACGCUGGCGGCGUGCUUAACACAUGCAAGUCGAACGGAAAGGCCCCUUUGGGGGUACUCGAGUGGCGAACGGGUGAGUAACACGUGAGUAACCUGCCCUUGACUUCGGGAUAACUUCAGGAAACUGGGGCUAAUACCGGAUAGGAAUCCUUGCUGCAUGGUGGGGGUUGGAAAGCUUCGGCGGUUUUGGAUGGACUCGCGGCUUAUCAGCUUGUUGGUGGGGUAGUGGCUUACCAAGGCUUUGACGGGUAGCCGGCCUGAGAGGGCGACCGGCCACAUUGGGACUGAGAGACGGCCCAGACUCCUACGGGAGGCAGCAGUGGGGAAUAUUGCACAAGGGGCGGAAGCCGGAUGCAGCAACGCCGCGUGCGGGAUGACGGCCUUCGGGUUGUAAACCGCUUUCAGCAGGGGCGAAGCUUGUGGUGACGGUACCUGCAGAAGAAGCACCGGCUAACUACGUG
RNAcentral lists this ribosomal RNA (465 nucleotides) under uncultured bacterium. RNAcentral's name for it is "partial 16S ribosomal RNA". It matches the Rfam family "Bacterial small subunit ribosomal RNA", at positions 28 to 507 of the family's 1533-position model. The record is from RNAcentral.